GUGGGGAAUAUUGGACAAUGGGCGCAAGCCUGAUCCAGCCAUGCCGCGUGUGUGAAGAAGGCCUUUUGGUUGUAAAGCACUUUAAGCGAGGAGGAGGCUCCUUUAGUUAAUACCUAAAGAGAGUGGACGUUACUCGCAGAAUAAGCACCGGCUAACUCUGUGCCAGCAGCCGCGGUAAUACAGAGGGUGCAAGAGUUAAUCGGAUUUACUGGGCGUAAAGCGCGCAGAGGUGGCCAAUUAAGUCAAAUGUGAAAUCCCCGAGCUUAACUUGGGAAUUGCAUUCGAUACUGGUUGGCUAGAGUAUGGGAGAGGAUGGUAGAAUUCCAGGGGUAGCGGUGAAAUGCGUAGAGAUCUGGAGGAAUACCGAUGGCGAAGGCAGCCAUCUGGCCUAAUACUGACACUGAGGUGCGAAAGCAUGGGGAGCAAACAGGAUUAGAUACCCUAGUAGUCC
RNAcentral lists this ribosomal RNA (451 nucleotides) under uncultured bacterium. Its description in RNAcentral is "partial 16S ribosomal RNA". It matches the Rfam family "Bacterial small subunit ribosomal RNA", at positions 354 to 796 of the family's 1533-position model. The record is from RNAcentral.